Molecule: ribosomal RNA, 468 nt
Filed under: uncultured bacterium
Lineage: Bacteria
Description: partial 16S ribosomal RNA
Rfam family: Bacterial small subunit ribosomal RNA
Source: RNAcentral
GACGAACGCUGGCGGCGUGCUUAACACAUGCAAGUCGAACGGAAAGGCCCUGCUUUUGUGGGGUGCUCGAGUGGUGAACGGGUGAGUAACACGUGAGUAACCUGCCCUUGACUUUGGGAUAACUUCAGGAAACUGGGGCUAAUACCGGAUAGGAGCUCCUGCUGCAUGGUGGGGGUUGGAAAGUUUCGGCGGUUGGGGAUGGACUCGCGGCUUAUCAGCUUGUUGGUGGGGUAGUGGCUUACCAAGGCUUUGACGGGUAGCCGGCCUGAGAGGGUGACCGGCCACAUUGGGACUGAGAUACGGACCAGACUCCUACGGGAGGCAGAAGUGGGGAAUAUUGCACAAUGGGCGGAAGCCUGAUGCAGCAACGCCGCGUGCGGGAUGACGGCCUUCGGGUUGUAAACCGCUUUCGCCUGUGACGAAGCGUGAGUGACGGUAAUGGGUAAAGAAGCACCGGCUAACUACGUG